This 495-nucleotide ribosomal RNA is filed under the name uncultured bacterium. RNAcentral's name for it is "partial 16S ribosomal RNA". It matches the Rfam family "Bacterial small subunit ribosomal RNA", at positions 28 to 507 of the family's 1533-position model. The record is from RNAcentral.
GACGAACGCUGGCGGCGUGCCUAAUACAUGCAAGUAGAACGCUGAAGGAGGAGCUUGCUUCUCUGGAUGAGUUGCGAACGGGUGAGUAACGCGUAGGUAACCUGCCUGGUAGCGGGGGAUAACUAUUGGAAACGAUAGCUAAUACCGCAUAAUAUUGACUAUUGCAUGAUAGUCAGUUGAAAGGUGCAACUGCACCACUACCAGAUGGACCUGCGUUGUAUUAGCUAGUUGGUGGGGUAACGGCCCACCAAGGCGACGAUACAUAGCCGACCUGAGAGGGUGAUCGGCCACACUGGGACUGAGACACGGCCCAGACUCCUACGGGAGGCAGCAGUAGGGAAUCUUCGGCAAUGGACGGAAGUCUGACCGAGCAACGCCGCGUGAGUGAAGAAGGUUUUCGGAUCGUAAAGCUCUGUUGUAAGAGAAGAACGAGUGUGAGAGUGGAAAGCUCACACUGUGACGGUAUCUUACCAGAAAGGGACGGCUAACUACGUG